RNAcentral lists this ribosomal RNA (484 nucleotides) under uncultured bacterium. Its description in RNAcentral is "partial 16S ribosomal RNA". It matches the Rfam family "Bacterial small subunit ribosomal RNA", at positions 30 to 507 of the family's 1533-position model. The record is from RNAcentral.
AUUGAACGCUGGCGGCAGGCCUAACACAUGCAAGUCGAGCGGAUGAAGGGAGCUUGCUCCUGGAUUCAGCGGCGGACGGGUGAGUAAUGCCUAGGAAUCUGCCUGGUAGUGGGGGAUAACGUCCGGAAACGGGCGCUAAUACCGCAUACGUCCUGAGGGCGAAAGGGGGGGAUCUUCGGACCUCACGCUAUCAGAUGAGCCUAGGUCGGAUUAGCUAGUUGGUGGGGUAAAGGCCUACCAAGGCGACGAUCCGUAACUGGUCUGAGAGGAUGAUCAGUCACACUGGAACUGAGACACGGUCCAGACUCCUACGGGAGGCAGCAGUGGGGAAUAUUGGACAAUGGGCGAAAGCCUGAUCCAGCCAUGCCGCGUGUGUGAAGAAGGUCUUCGGAUUGUAAAGCCCUUUAAGUUGGGAGGAAGGGCAGUAAGUUAAUACCUUGCUGUUUUGACGGUACCAACAGAAUAAGCACCGGCUAACUUCGUG